Molecule: ribosomal RNA, 459 nt
Filed under: uncultured bacterium
Lineage: Bacteria
Description: partial 16S ribosomal RNA
Rfam family: Bacterial small subunit ribosomal RNA
Source: RNAcentral
CCUACGGGAGUCAGCAGUGAGGAAUAUUGGUCACUGGCCGGGAGGCUGAACCAGCCAAGUCGCGUGAGGGAAGACGGCCCUACGGGUUGUAAACCUCUUUUGUCAGGGAGCAAGGUUCAGGUCGGAACCUGCUGUGCGAGUACCUGAAGAAAAAGCAUCGACUAACUCCGUGCCAGCAGCCGCGGUAAUACGGAUGAUGCGAUGUUUAUCCGGAUUUAUUGGGUUAAAAGGGGGCGCAGGCGGAGGACCAAGUCAGCGGUAAAAUCGCGGGGCUCAACCCCGCUCCGCCGUUGAAACUGUGUCCCUUGAGUGCGCGAAGGGUAGGCGGAAUGCGUGGUGUAGCGGUGAAAUGCAUAGAUAUCACGCAGAACUCCGAUCGCGAAGGCAGCCUACCGGCGCGCAACUGACGCUCAUGCACGAAAGCGUGGGUAUCGAACAGGAUUAGAUACCCGUGUAGUC